UACGAAGGGGGCUAGCGUUGUUCGGAAUUACUGGGCGUAAAGCGUGCGCAGGCGGCUGCUCAAGUCAGGGGUGAAAGCCCAGAGCUCAACUCUGGAAUUGCCUUUGAGACUGAGUGGCUUGAGUACGGGAGAGGUGAGUGGAAUUCCCAGUGUAGAGGUGAAAUUCGUAGAUAUUGGGAAGAACACCGGUGGCGAAGGCGAACUCACUGGCCCGAUACUGACGCUGAGGUGGCGAAAGCGUGGGGAGCAAAC
RNAcentral lists this ribosomal RNA (252 nucleotides) under uncultured bacterium. Its description in RNAcentral is "partial 16S ribosomal RNA". It matches the Rfam family "Bacterial small subunit ribosomal RNA", at positions 524 to 773 of the family's 1533-position model. The record is from RNAcentral.